UUUGACAUACAAAAAUCACAGCAUCUCAAAACUUGAUCCUUUUUAUUUACCACACAUAGUAAGUUCUUUUGAUCUCCUUCAAAAGAAUUCCAAACUUCCAACCUUAGAUUAAAAUGCCAUAAUUAUAUCCCAAGAAAUUAAUUUCUCUUGAUUCUACACAGAGAUCAUAAUUGGCUUGACAGAAAUAGGAGAAAUCUUUAGUAUCAAAUGCUCUUAAUAUUCUAUAAUCAUUUUUCUUUUCUU
RNAcentral lists this long non-coding RNA (243 nucleotides) under Phoenix dactylifera (date palm). RNAcentral's name for it is "long non-coding RNA (PDAC_LNC018003)". Lineage: Eukaryota; Viridiplantae; Streptophyta; Magnoliopsida; Arecales; Arecaceae. The record is from RNAcentral.